This 547-nucleotide ribosomal RNA is filed under the name uncultured haloarchaeon. RNAcentral's name for it is "bacterial SSU rRNA". It matches the Rfam family "Archaeal small subunit ribosomal RNA", at positions 340 to 886 of the family's 1478-position model. The record is from RNAcentral. Lineage: Archaea; Methanobacteriati; Methanobacteriota; Halobacteria; Halobacteriales; Halobacteriaceae.
CGCGAAACCUUUACACUGCACGCAAGUGCGAUAAGGGGACCCCAAGUGCGAGGGCAUACAGUCCUCGCUUUUGUGUACCGUAGGGAGGUACACGAAUAAGAGCUGGGCAAGACCGGUGCCAGCCGCCGCGGUAAUACCGGCAGCUCAAGUGAUGGCCGCUAUUAUUGGGCCUAAAGCGUCCGUAGCCGGCCGCACAAGUCCGUCGGGAAAUCCACCCGCCUAACGGGUGGGCGUCCGGCGGAAACUGUGCGGCUUGGGACCGGAAGACUCGAGGGGUACGUCCGGGGUAGGAGUGAAAUCCCGUAAUCCUGGACGGACCGCCGGUGGCGAAAGCGCCUCGAGAGGACGGAUCCGACGGUGAGGGACGAAAGCUAGGGUCUCGAACCGGAUUAGAUACCCGGGUAGUCCUAGCCGUAAACGAUGCUCGCUAGGCGUGACGCAGGCUACGAGCCUGCGCUGUGCCGUAGGGAAGCCGUGAAGCGAGCCGCCUGGGAAGUACGUCCGCAAGGAUGAAACUUAAAGGAAUUGGCGGGGGAGCACUACAACC